Molecule: non-coding RNA, 170 nt
Organism: Eubacterium sp. CAG:252
Lineage: Bacteria; Bacillati; Bacillota; Clostridia; Eubacteriales; Eubacteriaceae
Source: Rfam
UUGAAGUUCAAUUUUGAUAGUUCUUAGACUUUUCUAUCGACAACUCAGCUAUCCACAGACACGGAUGUCUGUGGAAGUUCGAUAUAGGACAGGACGUCCCGUAUCGAACGGUAGCGGCAGGCUGCCAUAACAUAUAUGAAAAGUCUUAGAAAUAUCAAAUUGAAGCUUCU